Molecule: ribosomal RNA, 447 nt
Filed under: uncultured bacterium
Lineage: Bacteria
Description: bacterial SSU rRNA
Rfam family: Bacterial small subunit ribosomal RNA
Source: RNAcentral
CCCAGACUCCUACGGGAGGCAGCAGUGGGGAAUAUUGCACAAUGGGGGGAACCCUGAUGCAGCGACGCCGCGUGGGUGAAGGAGCGUUUCGGCGCGUAAAGCCCUAUCGGCAGGGAAGAAGGAGGACGGUACCUGACUAAGAAGCCCCGGCUAACUACGUGCCAGCAGCCGCGGUAAUACGUAGGGGGCAAGCGUUAUCCGGAUUUACUGGGUGUAAAGGGGGCGCAGACGGCAGCGCAAGCCAGGAGUGAAAGCCCGGGGCCCAACCCCGGGACUGCUCUUGGAACUGCGCGGCUGGAGUGCAGGAGGGGCAGGCGGAAUUCCUGGUGUAGCGGUGAAAUGCGUAGAUAUCAGGAGGAACACCGGUGGCGAAGGCGGCCUGCUGGACUGCGACUGACGUUGAGGCCCGAAAGCGUGGGGAGCAAACAGGAUUAGAUACCCGCGUAU